GUAAACUGACACGGGAAAAUUAUAAUUAUUUAAAUCUAAUGAUCGAUGGCUAUUUCAAUUUUCAUAAUUCUAACUUGGCUUUCUUUUUUUUAACCCUUCAAGUUUUUUCCGGUCUAUAUUUAACGGUUCUUAUAACAAAUUAUGCGCUCUUUGUCCAAUUUUUACUUAAAAUAUCUUAUGUAUAAUUAUGAAAUACUAUGUAUAAGUUUAAUAUUUCCAAUGAUUCAUUACUAAAAAUAAAAACCAACACAAAUUAUCACAAAAACAAACCAAAAAGCAAUACUCCCAAAAACAAAAAUAUAAUUUUCCCGAAAAGAAAAGCAAGACCAGAAAACCAAAUUGUAAAAAGUGAAAAGCCCUCAGAUCUCAUAGCUUCAGAAUCACAGACGGCUUAAAUCGUGAUGGAACUCAUCAGAAGCCUUUCACACAUCACCAUAAAAGAUCAGCUCUAUAAAAAUAUUUAGGGGAAGGAGAAAGGGAUUUUAAAAAAAAUAAAUUUUUCUCGCUGAUUUUCAGGUGAUGCAGAAAGGCAACUGAUGAAUUUAAAACCAUCACAGCCUCUCAAUUUUAUAUAGAUUUUCCAUCAUCGGGCUUUUCAGAUACCAAAUAUUGAACUAAUAAAAUUUGAGGAUAACAAACUAAAAACAAAAUUCAAACUAAGAAAAUUACGAUAAAAUCACAAUAAUUUAUGCAUAAAGAUAUAGUGAGAACGCGAAGGCGUUCGGCGAAAACAAAAG
This 737-nucleotide long non-coding RNA is filed under the name Nicotiana benthamiana. RNAcentral describes it as "long non-coding RNA (NBEN_LNC020983)". Lineage: Eukaryota; Viridiplantae; Streptophyta; Magnoliopsida; Solanales; Solanaceae. The record is from RNAcentral.